This is a non-coding RNA of Acanthosepion pharaonis, 99 nucleotides long. NCBI's taxonomy places the organism in Eukaryota, Metazoa, Mollusca, Cephalopoda, Sepiida, Sepiidae. The record is from the annotation of a GenBank genome assembly.
CAGUCAUAUAGCUUUGAAACACCAGUUCCCGUACGAUCACCAAUGUUAAGCAAGUUAGUACCUGGAUGGGUGUCCGCUUGCAAAUACCAGGUGCUGUAA